CGAACGCUGGCGCCAUGCUUAACACAUGCAAGUCGCACGGGCAGGGGUAACUCUGUCAGUGGCGGACGGGUGAGUAACGCGUAGGAAUCUAUCCUUGGGUGGGGGACAACCACGGGAAACUGUGGCUAAUACCGCAUGAAGACUGAGGUCCAAAGGCCGAAAGGUCGCCUAAGGAGGAGCCUGCGUCCGAUUAGCUUGUUGGUGGGGUAAAGGCCUACCAAGGCUCCGAUCGGUAGCUGGUCUGAGAGGAUGAUCAGCCACACUGGGACUGAGACACGGCCCAGACUCCUACGGGAGGCAGCAGUGGGGAAUAUUGGACGAUGGGCGAAAGCCUGAUCCAGCAAUGCCGCGUGGGUGAAGAAGGUCUUCGGAUUGUAAAGCCCUUUCGACGGGGACGAUGAUGACGGUACCCGUAGAAGAAGCCCCGGCUAACUUCGUGCCAGCAGCCGCGGUAAUACGAAGGGGGCUAGCGUUGCUCGGAUUGACUGGGCGUAAAGGGCGCGUAGGCGGAUAGUACAGUCAGGCGUGAAAUUCCUGGGCUCAACCUGGGGGCUGCGUUUGAUACGUAUUGUCUGGAGUUCGGAAGAGGGUCGUGGAAUUCCCAGUGUAGAGGUGAAAUUCGUAGAUAUUGGGAAGAACACCGGUGGCGAAGGCGGCGACCUGGUCCGAUACUGACGCUGAGGCGCGAAAGCGUGGGGAGCAAACAGGAUUAGAUACCCUGGUAGUCCACGCUGUAAACGAUGUGUGCUGGAUGUUGGGUGACAUAGUCAUUCAGUGUCGUAGCUAACGCGAUAAGCACACCGCCUGGGGAGUACGGCCGCAAGGUUGAAACU
RNAcentral lists this ribosomal RNA (833 nucleotides) under uncultured bacterium. RNAcentral describes it as "bacterial SSU rRNA". It matches the Rfam family "Bacterial small subunit ribosomal RNA", at positions 30 to 901 of the family's 1533-position model. The record is from RNAcentral.